Molecule: ribosomal RNA, 673 nt
Filed under: uncultured prokaryote
Description: bacterial SSU rRNA
Rfam family: Bacterial small subunit ribosomal RNA
Source: RNAcentral
GAUGAACGCUGACAGAAUGCUUAACACAUGCAAGUCGAUUCGAUUUACCUUCGGGUAUUGAGGAUGGCGGACGGGUGAGUAACGCGUAAGGAACUUGCCUCUUGGUCUGGGACAACUGUUGGAAACGACAGCUAAUACCGGAUAUUAUGAGAUUCUCGCAUGGGAAACUUAUGAAAGCUAUAUGCGCCAAGAGAGAGCCUUGCGUUCCAUUAGCUAGUUGGUGGGGUAACGGCCCACCAAGGCGACGAUGGAUAGCCGGCCUGAGAGGGUGAACGGCCACAAGGGGACUGAGACACGGCCCUUACUCCUACGGGAGGCAGCAGUGGGGAAUAUUGGACAAUGGGCCACAAGCCUGAUCCAGCAAUUCUGUGUGCACGAUGAAGGUCUUCGGAUUGUAAAGUGCUUUCAGUUGGGAAGAAGAAAGUGACGGUACCAACAGAAGAAGCGACGGCUAAAUACGUGCCAGCAGCCGCGGUAAUACGUAUGUCGCAAGCGUUAUCCGGAUUUAUUGNGCGUAAAGCGCGUCUAGGCGGAAAAAUAAGUCUGAUGUUAAAAUGCGGGGCUCAACUCCGUAUUGCGUUGGAAACUGUUUUUCUAGAGUACUGGAGAGGNGGGCGGAACUACAAGUGUAGAGGUGAAAUUCNUAGAUAUUUGUAGGAAUGCCGAUGGAGAA